Molecule: ribosomal RNA, 460 nt
Filed under: uncultured bacterium
Lineage: Bacteria
Description: partial 16S ribosomal RNA
Rfam family: Bacterial small subunit ribosomal RNA
Source: RNAcentral
CCUACGGGAGGCAGCAGUGAGGAAUAUUGGUCAAUGGGCUUACGCCUGAACCAGCCAAGUCGCGUGAGGGAAGACUGCCCUAUGGGUUGUAAACCUCUUUUGUCAGGGAGCAACGCCGGCUACGUGUAGCCGGACUGAGAGUACCUGAAGAAAAAGCAUCGGCUAACUCCGUGCCAGCAGCCGCGGUAAUACGGAGGAUGCGAGCGUUAUCCGGAUUUAUUGGGUUUAAAGGGUGCGUAGGCGGAAUGCCAAGUCAGCGGUAAAAUCGCGGGGCUCAACCUCGCUCCGCCGUUGAAACUGGCGUUCUUGAGUGGGCGAGAAGUAUGCGGAAUGCGUGGUGUAGCGGUGAAAUGCAUAGAUAUCACACAGAACUCCGAUUGCGAAGGCAGCAUACCGGCGCUCAACUGACGCUGAGGCACGAAAGCGUGGGGAUCGAACAGGAUUAGAUACCCGAGUAGUC